GACGAACGCUGGCGGCGUGCUUAACACAUGCAAGUCGAACGGAAAGGCCCUGCUUUUGUGGGGUGCUCGAGUGGCGAACGGGUGAGUAACACGUGAGUAACCUGCCCUUGACUUUGGGAUAACUUCAGGAAACUGGGGCUAAUACCGGAUAGGAGCUCCUGCUGCAUGGUGGGGGUUGGAAAGUUUCGGCGGUUGGGGAUGGACUCGCGGCUUAUCAGCUUGUUGGUGGGGUAGUGGCUUACCAAGGCUUUGACGGGUAGCCGGCCUGAGAGGGUGACCGGCCACAUUGGGACUGAGAUACGGCCCAGACUCCUACGGGAGGCAGGAGGGGGGAAUAUUGCACAAUGGGCGGAAGCCUGAUGCAGCAACGCCGCGUGCGGGAUGACGGCCUUCGGGUUGUAAACCGCUUUCGCCUGUGACGAAGCGUGAGUGACGGUAAUGGGUAAAGAAGCACCGGCUAACUACGUG
This 468-nucleotide ribosomal RNA is filed under the name uncultured bacterium. RNAcentral's name for it is "partial 16S ribosomal RNA". It matches the Rfam family "Bacterial small subunit ribosomal RNA", at positions 28 to 507 of the family's 1533-position model. The record is from RNAcentral.